This 228-nucleotide long non-coding RNA is filed under the name Carica papaya (papaya). Its description in RNAcentral is "long non-coding RNA (CPAP_LNC010035)". The record is from RNAcentral. Lineage: Eukaryota; Viridiplantae; Streptophyta; Magnoliopsida; Brassicales; Caricaceae.
UCAGUCAGCAGCCUUGACGAAUCGGAACACGUCGCGUGGUAAGGCACGCUGACGCGGUGUCAUGCGAGAGGCCACGCUGGCAAUUCGCGUGCCCGCGAUCGGAUGGUCCAGAUUUGUUCCAGCGCGUGUGGACGGUCCGGAUCCGUUCUCUCCUCAGCACGAUCGAACGGUGGCGAUUAAACGCAAUGAACGGUCUAGAUUUAUUUUCUCUUUAAAUAUGAUCGUAUG